UUCAUUCACAAGAAGAAAUCGCUAUUCACCUUGAGGGACUCAGAGCUGAGCAUCCAGCCAAACAAAAGGAUAGAGCUUUACAACACUGCCACUCUCACUGUAUCAAGAAACAACACUUUCUCCAACAAAAGAGUUCUGGAUGCAUGUUUAUAAAGGGUAAAUCAUUUUGGAUGGAUGCAUGUUUAUAAAAGUGAAGGUAACAUGGAAGUUGUCCCUCUGAACAAAGUUCCUCAGUAGCAGGUGAGAGUCUCACUCUUGGGGCUGGAAGGAGGUGUGCUGCCUCUGUGUCAGAAAGCAGCAGGACUUGAGGUAAUGCUACCAAAUC
RNAcentral lists this long non-coding RNA (325 nucleotides) under Cyanistes caeruleus (blue tit). Its description in RNAcentral is "lncRNA (ENSCCEG00000019724.1)". The record is from RNAcentral. Lineage: Eukaryota; Metazoa; Chordata; Aves; Passeriformes; Paridae.